UGUAAGAUAAACUAAAGGUAAGUUGUCAGACUCAUAAUCUGAAUAAGUAGGUUCAAAUCCUUCUCUUACAA
This 71-nucleotide transfer RNA is filed under the name Catostylus townsendi. RNAcentral's name for it is "tRNA-Met". It matches the Rfam family "tRNA". From Rfam's summary of the family: Transfer RNA (tRNA) molecules are approximately 80 nucleotides in length. Their secondary structure includes four short double-helical elements and three loops (D, anti-codon, and T loops). Further hydrogen bonds mediate the characteristic L-shaped molecular structure. tRNAs have two regions of fundamental functional importance: the anti-codon, which is responsible for specific mRNA codon recognition, and the 3' end, to which the tRNAs corresponding amino acid is attached (by aminoacyl-tRNA synthetases). tRNAs cope with the degeneracy of the genetic code in two manners: having more than one tRNA (with a specific anti-codon) for a particular amino acid; and 'wobble' base-pairing, i.e. permitting non-standard base-pairing at the 3rd anti-codon position. Lineage: Eukaryota; Metazoa; Cnidaria; Scyphozoa; Rhizostomeae; Catostylidae. The record is from RNAcentral.